Molecule: ribosomal RNA, 506 nt
Filed under: uncultured Actinomycetes bacterium
Lineage: Bacteria; Bacillati; Actinomycetota; Actinomycetes
Description: bacterial SSU rRNA
Rfam family: Bacterial small subunit ribosomal RNA
Source: RNAcentral
UGGGGAAUAUUGCACAAUGGGCGCAAGCCUGAUGCAGCGACGCCGCGUGAGGGAUGACGGCCUUCGGGUUGUAAACCUCUUUCAGUAGGGACGAAGCGCAAGUGACGGUACCUACAGAAGAAGCACCGGUCAACUACGUGCCAGCAGCCGCGGUAAUACGUAGGGUGCGAGCGUUGUCCGGAAUUACUGGGCGUAAAGAGCUCGUAGGUGGUUUGUCGCGUUGUCCGUGAAAACUCACAGCUUAACUGUGGGCGUGCGGGCGAUACGGGCAGACUGGAGUACUGCAGGGGAGACUGGAAUUCCUGGUGUAGCGGUGGAAUGCGCAGAUAUCAGGAGGAACACCGGUGGCGAAGGCGGGUCUCUGGGCAGUAACUGACGCUGAGGAGCGAAAGCGUGGGGAGCGAACAGGAUUAGAUACCCUGGUAGUCCACGCCGUAAACGGUGGGUACUAGGUGUGGGUUUCCUUCCUUGGGAUCCGUGCCGUAGCUAACGCAUUAAGUACCCCG